UCUCUCUCUCUCUCUCUCUCUCUCUCUCUCUCUCUCUCUCUCUCUCUCUCGUUUUUGCCUCCCGCUGCGCUAAUGUGUUUUUUUGUGUGUGUUUGUUUGUGUGUUAAAACCGUAAAAAGAUGGGACCUGAAUUUUUUUUAUUUUUUUCAAGGGGGUCGUUUUGAAGCCAAGGGAGAGAAGGAAGGAAAGGAGGUAAGGAGAGAGGAAGAAAAGAAGGAAUGGAAAGAAGGAAGGCGGGAAAGGAAGAGAAGGGAUGAAGGAAAAGGAAGGAAAAAAAAUGUAGGUGGGAAGGGUAAGGAAGGAAAGGAGGGAAAAGGAGGAAAAAUGGAGAGAUAGAGGAAGGAAAUGAGGGAAUAAAGAAAGGUAGGGAGAGAAGAAAGAAGGGAAAAGGAGCAGGCAGGAAAAGAAGGAAGAGAGGGAGGGAAACGAAGACAAAAAAAAAAAAAGAGAGGAAGGGAGAGAAAGGAAGGAAGAAAGCGAGGAAGGCAGGAGGGAAAAAAGGAAUGGAGGAGAGAAAGAAAAAAAAAGGAAGGUAAAGAGAAAGAGAAAGUAGAGAGAAAUAGAUGGCAAUGAAGGGAAAGAAGAAGGAAGAAAAAAAAGGAAGGUAAAGAGAAAGAGAAAGAAGAGAGAAAUAGAUGGCAAUGAAGGGAAAGAAGAAGGAAGAAAAAAAAGGAAGGUAAAGAGAAAGAGAAAGUAGAGAGAAAUAGAUGGCAAUGAAGGGAAAGAAGAAGGAAGAAAAAAAAGGAAGGGUAGUAGGGAACGAAAGAAGGAAGGGAGGAAAAGAGGGAGUGAAGGAAG
This is a long non-coding RNA of Eriocheir sinensis (Chinese mitten crab), 798 nucleotides long. RefSeq lists it as uncharacterized. The transcript is spliced from 2 exons. Lineage: Eukaryota; Metazoa; Arthropoda; Malacostraca; Decapoda; Varunidae. The record is from RefSeq and is a predicted model, not a curated record.